RNAcentral lists this long non-coding RNA (397 nucleotides) under Theobroma cacao (cacao). RNAcentral describes it as "long non-coding RNA (TCAC_LNC005076)". The record is from RNAcentral. Lineage: Eukaryota; Viridiplantae; Streptophyta; Magnoliopsida; Malvales; Malvaceae.
UGCUUUCUCGGAACACUUGAAACAAGAUGGAUUGUUGCACACUACUUGCGGAACACCGGCUUAUGUGGCGCCUGAAGUUAUUGGGAAAAAAGGGUACGAUGGAGCUAAGGCAGAUAUUUGGUCUUGUGGGGUGAUUCUUUAUGUGCUUCUUGCCGGGUUCCUACCAUUUCAAGAUGAUAACUUGGUGGCCAUGUAUAGGAAGAUUUAUAGGGGAGAUUUCAAGUGCCCACCUUGGUUUUCCCCUGAAGCUCGAAGAUUAAUCACCAAGCUUUUAGACCCAAAUCCAAGUACCCGAAUCACCAUCUCAAAGAUCAUGGACUCGUCUUGGUUCAAGAAAUCUAUGCCCAAGACCGUGAGAACCAAGGAAGAGUUAGAGUUUGAAGCAUUCAAUGGUGAC